This is a long non-coding RNA of Orcinus orca (killer whale), 1158 nucleotides long. RefSeq lists it as uncharacterized. The transcript is spliced from 4 exons. The record is from RefSeq and is a predicted model, not a curated record. Lineage: Eukaryota; Metazoa; Chordata; Mammalia; Artiodactyla; Delphinidae.
GUCCAGAACCAUAUACGGCCAAGUAGGGUGGAUGUGCCCAUUCCAGUCUGGGUCCAGCUGUCUUGUGGUUGACGGUAUCUUCCAAAGGCAGCCACAUCCCAUGACAAUGACACUCCUCUCAGAAGAUGGGGUCUUCUUCCCUCUUUUUGCAUCUGGGUGAACUGGGGUGACCACGGCGGAAGCGAAGUGACAUCUGAUGCUGGGCUUAGAAAAGGCCUCUUUCUUCCGGCUCUUCCUCUCUUGAGACGCUUGCCCUUGGACCCAGCCACCAUGCGGUGAGGAAGCCCAUGCUGGCCCACGUGGAGAGUCCACAUGGAGAGGCUCAUGUGGGGGAGGAAGUGAGGCCCCCAGCUGACAUCAGCGUCAACUGCCAGACACUACAAGAGGCAGCAUAAAGCAGCCAGAAAGCCAUGGAUCCCGGAGCCAGACUGCCUGGGUGUGAAUCAUGGUUCCACCACUUAGGAGCUGUGUGAGCUCAGGCAAGAACCGAGGCCCACCCACAACAACCACCAAAGGGCUUGACACUUCCAUACUCAAUCAACACGGAAGGAACAAACGAAACGAAUGGAUGGACACAGGCCACAGCUCCAGGGAGCUCCUAGACGUGCGCGAACUAAGAAGAGAGCAGAUGUCAAAAGUGGAAAAGAUGGCAUCCAAGGAGCAGGUGAUUCAGGACAGGAGAGGCGACAGGAUUCCCGGGAUGACGGUGAAGGAAAGACCCAGGACAACAGCUGAGCAGAAGGAGGCCUCAAGGGCAAGCAGUGCAGACGGGAGCAAGAAGGGCAGGGCUCCAGGAGCACCACCACCCGGAAACCCUAGAGCUAGGAGGCGAGCUGAUGUGUCUGGCGUCACUGACAGGAGGGCUUCUUUUUUCACUUGCCUGAAGCAUUUGCGGAAUAAAGUAAUGAUAGAGACACAGAAAACAGAGCAAAUCAAAAAGCAAGACAAGUAGUAACCAGAGGAAAAAUGAAGUCAAACGAGGAAACGUCGUCUUGGGACACUGUAAGGCUCAGCUUUGAACAACAUUUACAGACGUGUAAUGAUGUAUACGCUGAACACAGACUAAGAAAAAUCACGAUAGGGUCACAUUAAAAAGAUGAAGGAAAGAAAACGUGUGCGUGUGCGUGUGCGUGUGCGUGUGCGCGUGUGCGUGUGCGU